This 1393-nucleotide ribosomal RNA is filed under the name metagenome. RNAcentral describes it as "bacterial SSU rRNA". It matches the Rfam family "Bacterial small subunit ribosomal RNA", at positions 8 to 1386 of the family's 1533-position model. The record is from RNAcentral.
AGAGUUUGAUCCUGGCUCAGAACGAACGCUGCGGCGCGUUUAAAGCAUGCAAGUCGAACGGGAUUAAGAAAGCUUGCUUUUUUAAUUUAGUGGCGAACGGGUGAGUAACGCGUAGAUAAUCUACCCUUGAGUGGGGGAUAGUCCAUCGAAAGGUGGUUUAAUACCGCAUGAAUUGUUGUAUCAUAAGAUAUGACAUGAAAGAUUAUACUUUAUUGUAUAGUCGCUUGGGGAUGAGUCUGCGUACCAUUAGCUAGCUGGAGAGGUAAGAGCUCCCCAGGGCAAAGAUGGUUAGCCGGUCUGAGAGGAUGAUCGGCCACAUUGGGACUGAGAUACGGCCCAGACUCCUACGGGAGGCAGCAGCUAAGAAUCUUCCGCAAUGGACGAAAGUCUGACGGAGCGACGCCGCGUGAACGAAGAAGGCCGUAAAGGUUGUAAAGUUCUUUUAUUGCACAAAAAUGCUAUAUUAUAGAUGUAGUUGUUAUGUGCUAUGAAUAAGCCCGGCUAAUUACGUGCCAGCAGCCGCAGUAAGACGUAAGGGGCAAGCGUUGUUCGGAAUUAUUGGGCAUAAAGGGCGAGUAGGCGGUCUUGUAAGUUAUAGGUGAAAUUUCACUGCUCAACAGUGAGCGUGCCUGUAAAACUGUAGGACUAGAGUUUAGGAGAGGAUGUCGGAAUUCCUGGUGUAGGGGUGGAAUCUAUAGAUAUCAGGAGGAACACCUGUGGCGAAGGCGGGCAUCUGGCCAUAGACUGACGCUGAGGCGCGAAAGCGUGGGUAGCAAACAGGAUUAGAUACCCUGGUAGUCCACGCAGUAAACGUUGUAUACUAGGUGUAUGAGGUAUCGAUCCCUUGUGUACCGAAGCAAAUGUGAUAAGUAUACCGCCUGGGGAGUAUGCCGGCAACGGUGAAACUCAAAGGAAUUGACGGGGGCCCGCACAAGCGGUGGAGCAUGUGGUUUAAUUCGAUGAUACGCGAAAAACCUUACCUGGGUUUGACAUAUGGACUGAUGGAUAAGAGAUUAUUCAGCCCCUUCGGGGGAGUUUAUACAGGUGCUGCAUGGCUGUCGUCAGCUCGUGUCGUGAGAUGUUGGGUUAAGUCCCGCAACGAGCGCAACCCUCAUGAUUAGUUGCCAUCAGGUAGUGCUGGGCACUCUAAUCAAACCGCCGGACGUAAGCCGGAGGAAGGUGGGGAUGACGUCAAGUCCUCAUGGCCUUUAUAUCCAGGGCUACACACGUGCUACAAUGGUCAGUACAAAGAGGAGCGAAGCUGUGAAGUGGAGCCAAUCUCAAAAAGCUGGCCGUAGUUCGGAUUGGAGUCUGAAACUCGACUCCAUGAAGUUGGAAUCGCUAGUAAUCGCAGAUCAGCACGCUGCGGUGAAUACGUUCCCGGGCCUUGUAC